RNAcentral lists this unclassified non-coding RNA (340 nucleotides) under soil metagenome. Its description in RNAcentral is "partial contains 5.8S ribosomal RNA, internal transcribed spacer 2, and large subunit ribosomal RNA". The stretch from base 1 to 119 matches the Rfam family "5.8S ribosomal RNA", at positions 35 to 154 of the family's 154-position model. The record is from RNAcentral.
GAUGAAAACGUAGCGAAAUGCGAUAACUAAUGUGAAUUGCAGAAUUCAGUGAAUCAUCGAGUCUUUGAACGCACAUUGCGCCCCCUGGUAUUCCGGGGGGCAUGCCUGUCCGAGCGUCAUUGCUGCCCUCAAGCACGGCUUGUGUGUUGGGCUCCGUCCCCCCGGGGACGGGUCCGAAAGGCAGCGGCGGCACCGAGUCCGGUCCUCGAGCGUAUGGGGCUUUGUCACCCGCUCUGUAGGCCCGGCCGGCGCCAGCCGACAACCAAUCAUCCUUUUUUCAGGUUGACCUCGGAUCAGGUAGGGAUACCCACUGAACUUAAGCAUAUCAAUAAGCGGAGGA